RNAcentral lists this unclassified non-coding RNA (107 nucleotides) under uncultured Glomeraceae. RNAcentral describes it as "sequence contains ITS1". The record is from RNAcentral. Lineage: Eukaryota; Fungi; Glomeromycota; Glomeromycetes; Glomerales; Glomeraceae.
CCAAUCUUUAGCGGACCUUGGCUUGUCCAUGGUCUCGCGAAACUUGUAUUUAAAACCCACUCAUAAAUAUUUUUAAACCAUAUUUAUAUCAUUAAUAUAAAUUAAGA